CGCCAGACUCCUACGGGAGGCAGCAGUAGGGAAUAUUGCUCAAUGGGGGAAACCCUGAUGCAGCGACGCCGCGUGAGUGAAGAAGUAUUUCGGUAUGUAAAGCUCUGUCAGCAGGGAAGAAGAAAGACGGUACCUGACCAAGAAGCCCCGGCUAACUACGUGCCAGCAGCCGCGGUAAUACGUAGGGGGCAAGCGUUAUCCGGAUUUACUGGGUGUAAAGGGAGCGUAGACGGCAGGGCAAGUCUGGAGUGAAAGGCAGGGGCCCAACCCCUGGACUGCUCUGGAAACUGUCCGGCUGGAGUGCAGGAGAGGUAAGUGGAAUUCCUAGUGUAGCGGUGAAAUGCGUAGAUAUUAGGAGGAACACCAGUGGCGAAGGCGGCUUACUGGACUGUAACUGACGUUGAGGCUCGAAAGCGUGGGGAGCAAACAGGAUUAGAUACCCGUGUA
Molecule: ribosomal RNA, 447 nt
Filed under: uncultured bacterium
Lineage: Bacteria
Description: bacterial SSU rRNA
Rfam family: Bacterial small subunit ribosomal RNA
Source: RNAcentral